This 253-nucleotide ribosomal RNA is filed under the name uncultured bacterium. Its description in RNAcentral is "partial 16S ribosomal RNA". It matches the Rfam family "Bacterial small subunit ribosomal RNA", at positions 524 to 776 of the family's 1533-position model. The record is from RNAcentral.
UACAGAGGGUGCGAGCGUUAAUCGGAAUUACUGGGCGUAAAGGGUGCGUAGGUGGAUAUUCAAGUCAAAGGUGAAAGCCCUGGGCUUAACCUGGGAAUUGCCUGUGAAACUGAAUAUCUAGAGUAGAGUAGAGGGGAGUGGAAUUUCCGGUGUAGCGGUGAAAUGCGUAGAGAUCGGAAGGAACACCAGUGGCGAAGGCGGCUCUCUGGACUCAUACUGACACUGAGGCACGAAAGCGUGGGUAGCAAACAGG